This is a long non-coding RNA of Hyla sarda, 327 nucleotides long. RefSeq lists it as uncharacterized. The transcript has 3 exons. The record is from RefSeq and is a predicted model, not a curated record. NCBI's taxonomy places the organism in Eukaryota, Metazoa, Chordata, Amphibia, Anura, Hylidae.
GUUACCGUUCACGGAUCAUGCCUGGAUUGAGUGUGUGGUAAAAGGUGGUGGUCUAAGUGUCUGGCAAGAAUUAUCAGGCAGAUCUUUGUUUUCUUAUGGAAUUCAAGGAUGGAGAAAUUGAGUCGUGGGAAGGUGGUGAAAAGCAGAAUGCAUGGUGGGAAAGGAAUGAUGAAUGUGGAAGUGUUCCUGGCUGUGAAGUAUGUCAGUUUUUGUCUCGCUAUUAUAUCCUGAUAUGAAGGGACAGUUGGAGGGACAGAAUCCGCUGCAAUUAAUUUUUUCUGAGGGAAAGUCAUGAAGGGAAAGCUUUUUGUUAUAUGUACAUGUAAA